Molecule: long non-coding RNA, 192 nt
Organism: Bufo bufo (common toad)
Lineage: Eukaryota; Metazoa; Chordata; Amphibia; Anura; Bufonidae
Exons: 3
Source: RefSeq, a predicted model, not a curated record
CUCUACAUCUAGGAACUGUAUAGUAUUAGGGUGAUAGUGCAAUUGAAAUUUUAUAGUUUCAUGGCAGGAAUUGAGAUAAUCGAUGAAUUCCAUCAGUGACGGUUCCGUACCCUUCUACAGUAGAAAUACAUCAUCCACAUAGCGUAGCCAUGUGGAUAAUGUUUCUAAUUUUCCAUUAUUGAAACAAAUGCU